AACUCUGCUCGUAGAAGAGCGUAGAGAGUAGAGUAAGAGAGUAGAAGAGCGAUCGGACGCCUGGACGUUUUAAAUGAUGUGACGCUUAAAGCCCUUCUAAACACCAGUCUGGAAAUAUAACCAUAUUCCUUAGACGAUCGAUCCACUUGGAGACUGUUAGAAGUAGCGACGCCUGAGUGAGGAUUUAACGAGUUGUUCCUUUUCUUUUUCAUUUAAAUGGAUUGCAUAUUUUUAUUUGAACUUUAAUUAACUUCUUUGAACGAAUUAAAUUCUUAUAACUACAGAUGAAUACACAUUUUGUAUUAAAUAUUUUAUAGAAUUUGUCUUGUUCGAUUUCCAAGAUCCAAUGUUUUAUGGAAUUGGAUGACGAAACUCCUGAGCGGAACCCACAAGUUCUCAGAGCUGGCCAUCCAGCCAGGAUCGGGCAGAUCCCUGCCGCAACGGCAACACCCUCUCAGAGGCGACCACCAUAUCAGGACGAUCUGUGGCAUCCACAAUUUUGAAGUGCUUACGCAACCCCCAGCCACGCGCUUACUCAUCCUCUCCCUCAGACACUCUUCCUGGUGCAGUGUGUGGCAUCUGGCGGAAAGGAACCCACAUAUUGACUGAGCGACUGAUUACCCAAGAGAUUAGAUUGGAUUCUGGAGAAGGGAUCGGCACAUUUUAAGGACUACAUUUCCGUAAGUA
Molecule: long non-coding RNA, 687 nt
Organism: Drosophila pseudoobscura
Lineage: Eukaryota; Metazoa; Arthropoda; Insecta; Diptera; Drosophilidae
Exons: 3
Source: RefSeq, a predicted model, not a curated record